This 279-nucleotide ribosomal RNA is filed under the name uncultured bacterium. RNAcentral's name for it is "partial 16S ribosomal RNA". It matches the Rfam family "Bacterial small subunit ribosomal RNA", at positions 506 to 784 of the family's 1533-position model. The record is from RNAcentral.
UGCCAGCCGCCGCGGUAAUACGGAGGGGGUUAGCGUUGUUCGGAAUUACUGGGCGUAAAGCGUACGUAGGCGGACUGAAAAGUUGGGGGUGAAAUCCCGGGGCUCAACCCCGGAACUGCCUCCAAAACUGCCAGUCUUGAGUUCGAGAGAGGUGAGUGGAAUUCCGAGUGUAGAGGUGAAAUUCGUAGAUAUUCGGAGGAACACCAGUGGCGAAGGCGGCUCACUGGCUCGAUACUGACGCUGAGGUACGAAAGUGUGGGGAGCAAACAGGAUUAGAUA